This is a long non-coding RNA of Daphnia pulex (common water flea), 650 nucleotides long. RefSeq lists it as uncharacterized. The record is from RefSeq and is a predicted model, not a curated record. The transcript is spliced from 3 exons. NCBI's taxonomy places the organism in Eukaryota, Metazoa, Arthropoda, Branchiopoda, Diplostraca, Daphniidae.
AUAAUUUCAGCUGAAGUUUUCGUGUACCUGACCAACUAGGUGCUCGUGACAAAUAAAAUUGUCUAAUCCAAUAAUGCAAGUUGGCAAGCUAUGUCUUCUGAAGCUAAACAAUUUCUGUUGCAAGAUUUUGUAUAUCUUCAAGCUAUUGAUGCCUUCGCCAGAUCCAAUUCUUUGCUGCUAUCUAUUUUGCGGCACAACAACAAGAAAAUACUGCCCCUUAAGAUUUUGUGGUAAUCGCCACUUAGUUCUAAUUUAGGAGGACAAUGUUAAUCCCUCUCCUCUGUUUUGGAAACUGACAAGAGAUUGCUGGAAUUGAAGACUGAUAAUUUGUGUAGACUUGUGCAUAUCAGGCUCCCUUCUUUUCUGUGGCCCUGUUUCCUUAACUAACCACUAACCAACGCCCGCCGGUGGUCACUCAUCCGCUGUGAAAAGCAGGAGGAGGGGAGGGCUCUGGUCGAACGGGGCCUUGGAAGGUGCAUGAUCCGAGAAAAACUUUUGGGAGGGUCAUGACACUCUUAAUAUGAGAAUUUAACCAGGAAUCUUACCAUGACCACAUCUUCCCAGUAAAACUGGCCUCGCACUAUUUAGUUUACUGUCCGCAUUCAAUCAGGGCAGGUUUUGUAUUGUACAAUAGAGUAAAAUGAUUUUUU